Molecule: small RNA, 144 nt
Filed under: Streptomyces cyaneogriseus subsp. noncyanogenus
Lineage: Bacteria; Bacillati; Actinomycetota; Actinomycetes; Kitasatosporales; Streptomycetaceae
Description: Streptomyces-metH RNA
Rfam family: Streptomyces-metH RNA
Source: Rfam by way of RNAcentral
CCCGUCCGUCCCGUGGACGCCCUGACCAUCCGCCCACGGUCCCGGCUACCCUGGCCGCGUGCGCAUUCCCCCGCGACGUCCGCCCGGACGUGUGCCGGGGGACGCAAAGCCGACAGCCGUCGCAUCCAAGGGAGCCCCUUCAUG